AGUUCGGAUUGGAGGCUGAAACCCGCCUCCAUGAAGUUGGAUUCGCUAGUAAUCGCGCAUCAGCCAUGGCGCGGUGAAUACGUUCCCGGGCCUUGUACACACCGCCCGUCAAGCCAUGGGAGCCGGGGGUGCCUGAAGUUCGUGACCGCAAGGAGCGACCUAGGGCAAAACUGGUGACUGGGGCUAAGUCGUAACAAGGUACC
Molecule: ribosomal RNA, 203 nt
Filed under: uncultured bacterium
Lineage: Bacteria
Description: partial 16S ribosomal RNA
Rfam family: Bacterial small subunit ribosomal RNA
Source: RNAcentral